Molecule: ribosomal RNA, 663 nt
Filed under: uncultured fungus
Lineage: Eukaryota; Fungi
Description: eukaryotic LSU rRNA
Rfam family: Eukaryotic large subunit ribosomal RNA
Source: RNAcentral
CCCGCUGAACUUAAGCAUAUCAAUAAGCGGAGGAAAAGAAACUAACAAGGAUUCCCCUAGUAACUGCGAGUGAAGCGGGAAAAGCUCAAAUUUAAAAUCUGGCGGUCUCGCGGCCGUCCGAGUUGUAAUCUGGAGAAGCGUUUAUCCGCGUCGGACCGUGUACAAGUCUUCUGGAAGGGAGCGUCAUAGAGGGUGAGAAUCCCGUCUUUGACACGGACAACCGAUGCUUUUGUGAUGCGCUCUCGAAGAGUCGAGUUGUUUGGGAAUGCAGCUCAAAAUGGGUGGUGAACUCCAUCUAAAGCUAAAUAUUGGCGAGAGACCGAUAGCGAACAAGUACCGUGAGGGAAAGAUGAAAAGCACUUUGGAAAGAGAGUGAAACAGUACGUGAAAUUGUUGAAAGGGAAACGCUUGAAGUCAGUCGCGUCGUCCGAGACUCAGCCUCGCCUCGGCUUGGUGUACUUCUCGGAUGACGGGUCAGCAUCAAUUUUGACCGCCGGAUAAAGUCGUUGGGAAUGUGGCAUCUUCAUGAUGUGUUAUAGCCCGUCGUCGCAUACGGUGGUCGGGAUUGAGGAACUCAGCACGCCGCAAGGCCGGGUCGUUUCGACCACGUUCGUGCUUAGGAUGCUGGCAUAAUGGCUUUAAUCGACCCGUCUUGAAACACGG